RNAcentral lists this ribosomal RNA (441 nucleotides) under uncultured bacterium. RNAcentral's name for it is "partial 16S ribosomal RNA". It matches the Rfam family "Bacterial small subunit ribosomal RNA", at positions 338 to 795 of the family's 1533-position model. The record is from RNAcentral.
CCUACGGGAGGCAGCAGUGGGGGAUAUUGCACAAUGGGGGGAACCCUGAUGCAGCGACGCCGCGUGGGUGAAGGAGUGCUUCGGCAUGUAAAGCCCUAUCGGCAGGGAAGAAGCAAGACGGUACCUGACUAAGAAGCCCCGGCUAACUACGUGCCAGCAGCCGCGGUAAUACGUAGGGGGCGAGCGUUAUCCGGAUUCACUGGGUGUAAAGGGAGCGUAGACGGUGUGGCAAGUCUGAAGUGAAAGCCCGGGGCUCAACCCCGGGACUGCUUUGGAAACUGUCAUGCUGGAGUGCUGGAGAGGUAAGCGGAAUUCCUAGUGUAGCGGUGAAAUGCGUAGAUAUUAGGAGGAACACCAGUGGCGAAGGCGGCUUACUGGACAGUAACUGACGUUGAGGCUCGAAAGCGUGGGGAGCAAACAGGAUUAGAUACCCGUGUAGUC